This 963-nucleotide ribosomal RNA is filed under the name Salmonella enterica. RNAcentral describes it as "bacterial SSU rRNA". It matches the Rfam family "Bacterial small subunit ribosomal RNA", at positions 108 to 1067 of the family's 1533-position model. Lineage: Bacteria; Pseudomonadati; Pseudomonadota; Gammaproteobacteria; Enterobacterales; Enterobacteriaceae. The record is from RNAcentral.
GAGUAAUGUCUGGGAAACUGCCUGAUGGAGGGGGAUAACUACUGGAAACGGUGGCUAAUACCGCAUAACGUCGCAAGACCAAAGAGGGGGACCUUCGGGCCUCUUGCCAUCAGAUGUGCCCAGAUGGGAUUAGCUUGUUGGUGAGGUAACGGCUCACCAAGGCGACGAUCCCUAGCUGGUCUGAGAGGAUGACCAGCCACACUGGAACUGAGACACGGUCCAGACUCCUACGGGAGGCAGCAGUGGGGAAUAUUGCACAAUGGGCGCAAGCCUGAUGCAGCCAUGCCGCGUGUAUGAAGAAGGCCUUCGGGUUGUAAAGUACUUUCAGCGGGGAGGAAGGUGUUGUGGUUAAUAACCGCAGCAAUUGACGUUACCCGCAGAAGAAGCACCGGCUAACUCCGUGCCAGCAGCCGCGGUAAUACGGAGGGUGCAAGCGUUAAUCGGAAUUACUGGGCGUAAAGCGCACGCAGGCGGUCUGUCAAGUCGGAUGUGAAAUCCCCGGGCUCAACCUGGGAACUGCAUUCGAAACUGGCAGGCUUGAGUCUUGUAGAGGGGGGUAGAAUUCCAGGUGUAGCGGUGAAAUGCGUAGAGAUCUGGAGGAAUACCGGUGGCGAAGGCGGCCCCCUGGACAAAGACUGACGCUCAGGUGCGAAAGCGUGGGGAGCAAACAGGAUUAGAUACCCUGGUAGUCCACGCCGUAAACGAUGUCUACUUGGAGGUUGUGCCCUUGAGGCGUGGCUUCCGGAGCUAACGCGUUAAGUAGACCGCCUGGGGAGUACGGCCGCAAGGUUAAAACUCAAAUGAAUUGACGGGGGCCCGCACAAGCGGUGGAGCAUGUGGUUUAAUUCGAUGCAACGCGAAGAACCUUACCUGGUCUUGACAUCCACGGAAGUUUUCAGAGAUGAGAAUGUGCCUUCGGGAACCGUGAGACAGGUGCUGCAUGGCUGUCGUCAGCUCGUGUUG